This 253-nucleotide ribosomal RNA is filed under the name uncultured bacterium. RNAcentral describes it as "partial 16S ribosomal RNA". It matches the Rfam family "Bacterial small subunit ribosomal RNA", at positions 524 to 776 of the family's 1533-position model. The record is from RNAcentral.
UACAUAGGGUGCAAGCGUUAUCCGGAUUUAUUGGGCGUAAAGAGUUCGUAGGCGUCUUGUUAAGUUCUGUUUGAAAUCCCGAGGCUUAACCUCGGAACUGGAUGGAAUACUGGCAAGAUCGAGUCUGUUAGGGGGUACUGGAACUCACGGUGUAGCAGUGAAAUGCGUUGAUAUCGUGAGGAACACCAAGGGCGAAGGCAGGUACCUGGGACAUGACUGACGCUGAGGAACGAAAGCUAGGGGAGCGAAAGGG